Molecule: unclassified non-coding RNA, 161 nt
Filed under: uncultured Nectria
Lineage: Eukaryota; Fungi; Ascomycota; Sordariomycetes; Hypocreales; Nectriaceae
Description: sequence contains ITS1
Source: RNAcentral
CUGAGUUUUACAACUCCCAAACCCAUUGUGAACUUACCAUUGUUGCUUCGGCGGGAUCGCCCCGGUGCCUCUGCUGCCCGGAACCAGGCGCCCGCCGGAGGCUCCAAACUCUUGUUUUGAACUUGUGGCUUAUCUGAGUGGCGCAAGCAAAUAAUAAAUCA